This 886-nucleotide ribosomal RNA is filed under the name Hypocrella luteola. RNAcentral describes it as "LSU rRNA". It matches the Rfam family "Eukaryotic large subunit ribosomal RNA", at positions 47 to 943 of the family's 3401-position model. Lineage: Eukaryota; Fungi; Ascomycota; Sordariomycetes; Hypocreales; Clavicipitaceae. The record is from RNAcentral.
UAAGCGGAGGAAAAGAAACCAACAGGGAUUGCCCCAGUAACGGCGAGUGAAGCGGCAACAGCUCAAAUUUGAAAUCUGGCCCCUCCCCCGGGGGGGGCCCGAGUUGUAAUUUGCAGAGGAUGCUUCUGGCGAGGUGCCUUCCGAGUUCCCUGGAACGGGACGCCGCAGAGGGUGAGAGCCCCGUCUGGUCGGACACCGAGCCUCUGUGAAGCUCCUUCGACGAGUCGAGUAGUUUGGGAAUGCUGCUCUAAAUGGGAGGUAUAUGUCUUCUAAAGCUAAAUACCGGCCAGAGACCGAUAGCGCACAAGUAGAGUGAUCGAAAGAUGAAAAGCACUUUGAAAAGAGGGUUAAACAGUACGUGAAAUUGUUGAAAGGGAAGCGCUCACGACCAGACCUGGUCCCGGCGAAUCACCCGGCGUUCUCGCCGGUGCACUUCGACGGGCUUCCAGGCCAGCAUCAGUCCGCGCCGGGGGACAAAGGCGGCGGGAACGUGGCUCCCCAGGGAGUGUUAUAGCCCGCCGCGCAAUGCCCCGGGGGCGGACUGAGGACCGCGCGUCACCGCAAGGAUGCUGGCGUAAUGGUCGUCAGCGACCCGUCUUGAAACACGGACCAAGGAGUCGUCCUCGUAUGCGAGUGUUGGGGCGUCAAACCCCCCGCGCGUAAUGAAAGUGAACGGCAGGUGAGAGCCCUCGCGGGCGCAUCAUCGACCGAUCCUGAUGUUCUCGGAUGGAUUUGAGUAGGAGCAUACGGGGCCGGACCCGAAAGAAGGUGAACUAUGCCUGUGUAGGGUGAAGCCAGAGGAAACUCUGGUGGAGGCUCGCAGCGGUUCUGACGUGCAAAUCGAUCGUCAAACAUGGGCAUGGGGGCGAAAGACUAAUCGAACCUU